AUUGAACGCUGGCGGCAGGCCUAACACAUGCAAGUCGAACGAGUGGCGGAAGGGUGAGUAAUGUCUGGGAAAAUGCCUGAUGGAGGGGGAUAACUACUGGAAACGGUAGCUAAUACCGCAUACCCUCAGAUGUGCCCAGAGGGGAUUAGCUAGUAGGGGGGGUAAAGGCGCACCUAGGCGACGAUCCCUAGCUGGUCUGAGAGGAUGACCAGCCCCACGGGAACUGAGACACGGUCCAGACGCCUUCGGGAGGCAGCAGUGGGGAAGAUUGCACAAUGGGCGCAAGCCUGAUGCAGCCGUGCCGCGUGUAUGAAGAAGGCCUUCGGGUUGUAAAGUACUUUCAGCGGGGAGGCGUUACCCGCAGAAGAAGCACCGGCUAACGCCGUGCAAGCCGCCGCGGUAAUAC
Molecule: ribosomal RNA, 406 nt
Filed under: uncultured bacterium
Lineage: Bacteria
Description: partial 16S ribosomal RNA
Rfam family: Bacterial small subunit ribosomal RNA
Source: RNAcentral